This 490-nucleotide ribosomal RNA is filed under the name uncultured bacterium. Its description in RNAcentral is "partial 16S ribosomal RNA". It matches the Rfam family "Bacterial small subunit ribosomal RNA", at positions 28 to 507 of the family's 1533-position model. The record is from RNAcentral.
GAUGAACGCUAGCUACAGGCUUAACACAUGCAAGUCGCGGGGCAGCAUGGGGGUUGCUUGCAAUCCCCGAUGGCGACCGGCGCACGGGUGAGUAACGCGUAUCCAACCUGCCCUUCACCACGGGAUAACCCGGCGAAAGUCGGACUAAUACCGUAUGUUGUCCAUUGACGGCAUCCGAUUUGGACGAAAGGUUUGGCGGUGAAGGAUGGGGAUGCGUCCGAUUAGCUGGACGGCGGGGUGACGGCCCACCGUGGCGACGAUCGGUAGGGGUUCUGAGAGGAAGGGCCCCCACCCCGGAACCGGGAAACGGGCCAGGCUCCUACGGGGGGGAGCCGUGAGGGAUAUUGGGCAAUUGGCGGUAGCCUGAACCCGCCAAGUGGGGGGCAGGAUGACGGGCCUAUGGGUUGUAAACUUCUUUUAUGCGGGGAUUAAGGGGCCCACGUGUGGGUUUUUGCAGGUACCGGAUGAAUUAGGACCGGGUUAUUCCGUU